ACGUCUGUCACAGCAGCAUUCCAGCUUUGGCACAUGACACAGGUAAUACGAAUCGGAAAAACGCCUCCGAGAAUGCCCGUGUCACUGGAUUACUGUCCCGGAAAUCAUACUUCAGACACCACAUCGUCGAUCACGAGCAACGUUUUGGAAAGCAACGAAUCCGUGGAACCGUUCUUCCUGCUUCGUCUGUCACCCUUGUGGAGCAGUCUUUUUGCGCUUCUAGCUACUAUAUUCAUUGGCAUGCUGGUGAGCGCUAUCACGGGCGAAAUUAAGAAAAACCAAGCACAGUCUUCGUUAUGUAGCGACGCUCUCGUUCGAUUUUGGCGAAAGCUGUCCAAGCCAACCGAAGAAAGCAAAAGUGUGGUGCGCCGAAGCAGCAGCAGUUGCUUUUCACGGCAAUGCCAGGGUACAUUGACAAGUUCCGAAGGAGCAGCACAGUGCAUGCCUGAGGCUGAGAACCUUCUCGUACUAAAGGAGGACUCUCAAGUUUAGCCAAGCGCUCAGUGAACUCCGCUGCCUAACACAGAAGCCACGAAUAC
This is a long non-coding RNA of Dermacentor albipictus, 539 nucleotides long. RefSeq lists it as uncharacterized. NCBI's taxonomy places the organism in Eukaryota, Metazoa, Arthropoda, Arachnida, Ixodida, Ixodidae. The record is from RefSeq and is a predicted model, not a curated record.